GACUCGCAGAUGACCCCUAUUGAUUUUGAGGUCACUAGGUCAAAGGUCAAGGUCACGGUGACCCGAAAUAGUAAAAUGGUUUUCGGAUGAUAACUCAAGAACGCAUACGCCUAGGAUCAUGAAACUUCAUAGGUAGAUUGAUCAUGACUUGCAGAUUACCCCUAUUGAUUUUGAGGUCACAAGGUCAAAGGUCAAGGUCACGGUGAC
Dreissena polymorpha is the source of this 207-nucleotide long non-coding RNA. RefSeq lists it as uncharacterized. NCBI's taxonomy places the organism in Eukaryota, Metazoa, Mollusca, Bivalvia, Myida, Dreissenidae. The record is from RefSeq and is a predicted model, not a curated record. The transcript is spliced from 2 exons.